Bufo gargarizans (Asiatic toad) is the source of this 329-nucleotide long non-coding RNA. RefSeq lists it as uncharacterized. NCBI's taxonomy places the organism in Eukaryota, Metazoa, Chordata, Amphibia, Anura, Bufonidae. The transcript has 3 exons. The record is from RefSeq and is a predicted model, not a curated record.
CUCAGUGCCACCACUGUCUGAGAGAAAGCAGCAAGGAGGACCUGCUUCGUCGGAGUUAACUUCCAGCAUUCCAGUGGGCAGGCGCAGCAGCAGCCAAAGCUAGUACAUUUUAAUGAAUGAUCUGCUUAUUCCACUAUCAUUACCUCCUGUGAAAUCCAGCAUCUCACAGGAGCAAAGAACACAAGAGCAGGCGGUCCUACAAGACAACGGCAGGCAGUCCUACAAGAGGAUCACAAGCCAUUCAUUUCGACGAUAUCAUUAUCGCCUCCGAAAUACGUCUCACAGAAGCCUACAAGACAAGACGAGGGCAGGCAGUCCUACAAGAGAAU